Molecule: ribosomal RNA, 465 nt
Filed under: Vreelandella stevensii
Lineage: Bacteria; Pseudomonadati; Pseudomonadota; Gammaproteobacteria; Oceanospirillales; Halomonadaceae
Description: partial 16S ribosomal RNA
Rfam family: Bacterial small subunit ribosomal RNA
Source: RNAcentral
CCUACGGGGGGCUGCAGUGGGGAAUAUUGGACAAUGGGGGGAACCCUGAUCCAGCCAUGCCGCGUGUGUGAAGAAGGCCCUCGGGUUGUAAAGCACUUUCAGUGAGGAAGAACGCCUGGUGGUUAAUACCCAUCAGGAAAGACAUCACUCACAGAAGAAGCACCGGCUAACUCCGUGCCAGCAGCCGCGGUAAUACGGAGGGUGCGAGCGUUAAUCGGAAUUACUGGGCGUAAAGCGCGCGUAGGUGGCUUGAUAAGCCGGUUGUGAAAGCCCCGGGCUCAACCUGGGAACGGCAUCCGGAACUGUCAAGCUAGAGUGCAGGAGAGGAAGGUAGAAUUCCCGGUGUAGCGGUGAAAUGCGUAGAGAUCGGGAGGAAUACCAGUGGCGAAGGCGGCCUUCUGGACUGACACUGACAUUGAGGUGCGAAAGCGUGGGUAGCAAACAGGAUUAGAUACCCCUGUAGUC